RNAcentral lists this long non-coding RNA (1444 nucleotides) under Heterocephalus glaber (naked mole-rat). RNAcentral's name for it is "lncRNA (ENSHGLG00100041267.1)". The record is from RNAcentral. Lineage: Eukaryota; Metazoa; Chordata; Mammalia; Rodentia; Bathyergidae.
CUUCCCCGCAGUCCUCCCCGGCAUAGCCUUCUAGGCAGACGCAGCCGCCCUGGCGACACUCUCCCCUGCCGCGACAGUCCCCGGGGCACGUCUGGAUGGCGCAGUCGGGGCCUCGGAAGCCCUCGACGCACACACAUUGGCCGGCGCGGCACAGCUCGCGGGGCCCGCAGCCCCCGGGGCAGGCGCCGGCGGGAGGCUCCUCCUCCCCGCAGUCCUCGCCGCCGUAGCCCGCGUGGCACACGCACACGCCCUGCACGCAGCGCCCGCGGCCCCGGCAGUCGGCCGGGCAGGUGCGGACGGCGCAGGAGGGGCCGGUGUAGCCGGGCUCACACACGCACACGCCGUUCUCGCAGCGCCCGCGCCCGCUACAGUCUCCAGGGCACCGACGGCUCCCGCAGUCCUCGCCAGCGAAGCCCGCGUCGCACACGCACACGCCGUCCACGCAGCGGCCGUGGCCGCGACAGUCGCCCGGGCAGGCGCGCGAGCCGCAGUCCCGGCCGGUGUAGCCGGGCCAGCACACGCAUCGGCCGCUUUCGCAGCGGCCCCGGCCUCGGCAGUCCCCGGGGCAGCCGCGCACGCCACAGUCCUCGCCGGCGAAGCCCGCGUGGCACACACACACGCCGUCCUCGCAGCGCCCGCGGCCCCUGCAGUCGCGCGGGCAGGCGCGGGCGCCGCAGUCGGGCCCGGAGUAGCCGGGCCAGCACACGCAGCGCCCGUCCUCGCAGCGCCCCCGCUGGCUGCAGUCGCCGGGGCAGCUGCGCACGCCGCAGUCGUCGCCGCUGUAGCCCGCGUCGCAGAUGCACUCGCCGUCCUCGCAGCGCCCGCGGCCCCGGCAGUCGCGCGGGCACGUGCGCGUGCCACAGUCCUCGCCCGCGUACCCGGGCCAGCACACGCAGCGCCCAUCCACGCAGCGGCCGCCCUCGCCGCAGUCCCACGGGCAGGCGCGCGCGCCGCAGUCCUCGCCGGAGUAGCCGGGGUCGCACACGCAGCGCCCGUCCACGCAGAGCCCCCUCUGGCUGCAGCCCCGGGGGCAGACGCGCUGGCUGCAGUCGGGGCCCGAGAAGCCGGCGCGGCACACGCACGCGCCCUGCACGCAGCGCCCGCGGCCCUGGCAGUCCCCGGGGCAGGAGGGCCAGCUGCAACUCGGGCCGGCGUAGCCGGGGAAGCACACGCAGCGCCCGCGAACGCAGCGGCCCUGGUCGUUGCAGUCGUCCGGGCAAGACCUGGGUGCGGGGGUCGGGGAGGAGGCGGGCGUCCCGGUGAGGUCGGAGCAGGUGGGCCCGCCCCAGCCUGGCUCGCAGGAGCAUGCGCAGCGGCCCAGGUCGAACACGCCGUGGAGGCUGCAGAGGCUGCGCACGUCUGUCUGGCCUGGAGCAGGAGAGAGAGGCCGCCUCAGUCUAGGGGAUGGGAGCGUCAGGAGAACAGGGACCUCUCGUCUGUGGGA